UCGAGGAUCUUCGGCAAUGGGCGAAAGCCUGACCGAGCGACGCCGCGUGUGCGAUGAAGGCCUUCGGGUUGUAAAGCACUGUCGUGGGGGAGAAAGCCCGCAAGGGUUGAUCGACCCCAGGAGGAAGCUCGGGCUAAGUUCGUGCCAGCAGCCGCGGUAAGACGAACCGAGCGAACGUUGUUCGGAAUCACUGGGCUUAAAGGGCGCGUAGGCGGGCGGUCAAGUCGAGGGUGAAAGCCCCCAGCUCAACUGGGGAAGUGCCUCCGAUACUGGCCGCCUCGAGGGGGAUAGGGGCGUGCGGAACUUCCGGUGGAGCGGUGAAAUGCGUAGAUAUCGGAAGGAACAUCGGUGGCGAAAGCGGCGCGCUGGGUCCCUUCUGACGCUGAGGCGCGAAAGCCAGGGGAGCGAACGG
RNAcentral lists this ribosomal RNA (412 nucleotides) under uncultured bacterium. RNAcentral's name for it is "bacterial SSU rRNA". It matches the Rfam family "Bacterial small subunit ribosomal RNA", at positions 355 to 775 of the family's 1533-position model. The record is from RNAcentral.